UGACCAUGAACACCAUAUGUUUCUGUUAAAUACCAGUAUAUGUCUGUACUAUUUUUGUCUUACUAUCCCUAUCAAAGUACUGUCUACGGGGUCUUAUUUUACUCGGUUAUGACCCGUUACUCUCUCUGAACUCAAAAGCUUUUAGGAUGCAGGCAACCACUGAGUCACAGCAUUAGGUGUGGAAGUCCUGAAAUAUUUCUGUCCUGACCCAAAAAACAGGAGCUGAGCCAAAGGAAGGAAGUCAAAAGCAGUAGGUUAGCUAAGCCAAGGAAGGAGCAGUAGGUUAGCUAAGCCAAGGAAGGAGCAGUAGGUUAGCUAAGCCAAGGAAGGAGCAGUAGGUUAGCUAAGCCAAGGAAGGAGCAGUUGGUCAGCUAAGCCAAGGAAGGAGCAGUUGGUCAGCUAAGCCAAGGAAGGAGCAGUAGGUUAGCUAAGCCAAGGAAGGAGCAGUAGGUUAGCUAAGCCAAGGAAGGAGCAGUAGGUUAGCUAAGCCAAGGAAGGAGCAGUAGGUUAGCUAAGCCAAGGAAGGAGCAGUAGGUUAGCUAAGCCAAGGAAGGA
Molecule: long non-coding RNA, 555 nt
Organism: Oncorhynchus tshawytscha (Chinook salmon)
Lineage: Eukaryota; Metazoa; Chordata; Actinopteri; Salmoniformes; Salmonidae
Exons: 3
Source: RefSeq, a predicted model, not a curated record